RNAcentral lists this long non-coding RNA (940 nucleotides) under Bemisia tabaci. RNAcentral describes it as "lncRNA ENSSSA2NGG013717". Lineage: Eukaryota; Metazoa; Arthropoda; Insecta; Hemiptera; Aleyrodidae. The record is from RNAcentral.
UCCCUUGUGCGCAGUCAUAGCGGGGACAGAGUCCUUUUGCCGCUUCUCAGAGCACGUGUUUUCUUAUCGUCGCUGUAUCGUCACGCUUUUUUAUUGUUGCUUUAUGGUAAACGUGUGAUUUCAUUAUAUUGCUAAAGUUUAAUAAGUGAAUGAAGUCGGAUACUGGAAAUUUUCGGUAGUUCUAUUUUUUUUCCUGCGUGAUAUACUCCGGAAGAAAAGAAGGACUGUAUUUUUUCUCCGUUGUAUAGUUCUGUCAUCAUUACUAAGGUGUACUCUUUGUGUUUUAAUCGCAUUUGUGAGGAUUUAAAAUUUAAAAAACCAAAGGUAGAAAUUAAUAUAUUUUUUUUUUAUAAAAAUUCCCACUUGUCUUUGGGAAAGUUAUCAAAAAAGUUCAUUGGCUAGAACUAGUUGUUUCUUGAAGUGUAAAUUUUUUCACGAUGGUGAAUGGGCGAGAGACUGAACUCUCAGUGCUUGGAUCUAGAUGAAAUAACCUAACCCGUACCCGUUUUUGUUUCUGUUUUGAUUCCCGGUGGCCCCCGCAACAAUGACCAUGGACAUUCACCAGCACAGCCUCCGAGUGGACACGACAGUGACCGGGCACAAGGGCCUCGACCAGUUCCACCAGACGAUGUCCCCCAAGUCCUCCCCCCGCUCUCCCGCGUCGGCUUCCCCCAAAACCUACCCUCAUACGACCCCCUCGCCGUACCACCUGGAAAAACCCCGCGCCAAGAGAAGCUUUGACGUCGCCUUCCUUAUCCAACCGGACGAUUUGUCAAAAAAGCGACAGCAGAAGUCCAAACCCAUCCCCACGCAACCCUUGAGCCACCCCGUACAGGAAAUGCCAAAAUCAAUGGGUUUCCGGACGCACACCUAUCGAAUUUGCUCCUUCAGAACGGGUACCUUUACGAACCACGGCAUACGUUGCAGGGCCUACCCCUGA